UAAUUAAGAGGAAGAGAAUUGCCUGAUUAAUUAACAAAAAAUUGGGCGACAAUCAAUACAUAUAUACCACAUGCGGACUACAGAUUAAAAAAGAAACUCCAUACUCCCACAAUCAACUCAACAGACAAACAUAAUGCACAAGAACCAUGACCCCUCGCACUUCUAAGUCCUAAUGAAGCCCCCAACAAAACCAAGCUUGAAUACAACAGGCGCCACCACAUCCACGAAGGCGAGCCAAUCGAAGAUGGUGGUUGAAGAGACUGAAUAUCAUCCAUUAAGAAGCCGGAGACGCCUUACCAGUGGCUCCCCUCUUCUUGCCUAUGUUCCUGAGAGCCUUCUUCACCUUCUUGAUUUUUCUCGUAGAAGCCUCCUUAGUUAGGAGGUAGGCAUUCGCCUUGCCAAACCCAGGGCUAGCUGCCUCCAAACUAUUGAACAAGCAACAAAGAUUUUUCGUGAAGGCCUCAUGAAUAUUUUAGGAUCGAAAGUAUGUCUAGAGGGGGGGGGGGGGGAUUAGACUACUUGACCAGAUAAAAACUUAGCCUUUUCCCAAUUUUUAGUGUGGGCCAGUUUUAGCAACUAUGACUAGUCAAGUACACCCUACAUAUGCAUAUCCAAGAGUAUUGCAGCGGAAAGUAAAACAUGCAAGUGUUAAUAAAGGGUGAGGUAUGGAGAUCAAGCGUAAUGGUUGACAUGGCGAUUUUUGGCAUGGUUCUGACAGGUGACGCUAUCAUACGUCCAUGUUAGUGGAGAUUUCAACCCAUGGAGGGUAACGGCUACGAGAGUCCACAGAGGGCUCCACCCACAAGGGGUCCAUGAAGAAGUGGCCUUGUCUAUUCCACCACGGUUUCCGUACACAAAGAAAUAGCCUCACUCUAGGUAGAUCUUCACGAAGUAGGCAAUCUCCUUAUGCUUACAAACAUCUUGGUUCAACUCCACAACACGAAGUACGAGGCUCCCAAGCGACACAUAACCAAUGUAGGAGGCACCACCCUCCAAAAGGUAAUAGAUGUGGUAGAACGAUGAACUCCUUGCUCUUGUGCUUCUAAAGAUAGUCUCCUCAACACUCAAUCACUCUCUCUCAGAUUUGGCAGGGGUAGGAGAGAUUUAUCUUGUGGAAAGCAACUUGGGGAGGCUAGAAAUCAAGGUUCAAAUGGUUGGAAUGGAAUCUCUUGAUCUCAACAUAUGAGUAGGUGGCUCUCUCUCACAAAAAUGGAUGUGCAAAGUGUAAGUGUGUUCUGAGUGCUUCCUCUACGAGUGAGAGGUAGGUGGAGGGGUAUAUAUAGGUAUCCCCCAAAAUCCAACUGUUACAACAUUAUUGCCCAACUCGGUGACAUCAAAAUGUUAAUAUCGAUGGUACCGAGUUGCACUAAAUGUGGAAACUUUGACUUCUCGAUGAGACCGAUAUAGGGAUCUCGGUGGUACUGAUACGAUGACCUAGGCUGGUUCCCAAACUCGGUGAGACUGACUUCAAACUCGGAAAUUCCAAAAAUUGAAGUUACCUCAACAGAAUAUUGGUCACCCAAUCUCGGUGGCACCGAUACAAAUUGUGGUUGUGCCGAGAUGGUGGGAUUGGCAUAGGAUAUGUCCAAGUGUAAAAUAUAGCUGAGUGGAAAAUGUUGGUGGCACCAAUUUGUAUAUUUGGCUUGGGACAGAUCUAUUUUGUGGGAAAGUGCUUGAGUAUUUUUGGUGGCUAUCUCUAAGCACUUGAGAAACCAAUUCAUCAUAAUAGCUCAUCCCCUUUUAAUAGUAUUCACUUUCCUAUGGACUGAAAGUGAUUUCUCACAAAGUGUAAAAUGAAGAGUCUUCUUGCUUGAAGCUUUAUCCAAUCCUAUUCCUUCCUUGCAUCGAAGGGGCAUCUCCACACAAUCCUAUAGACAAAGCAUCUUUAAACUUUUCUGAAAUGCACUUGGAUAAAUUCAUUAGUCCAAUGAUGCAUAUGUUGUAAUUAAUUACCAAAACCACCUUAGGGAUCAAUUGUGCUUAGAAAUAUGCACGAACAUACUUUCACGGUAAAAGACGACGAAUCGGAUAGUCUUCGAUGCAUCCGAAUCCGGUGCCAAAACACCUACCUCAUCAACCUCGACACCCAUGAAUGCCACCGGGCCAACAACCAUAGGUGUGACAACCAUAGCAGCAUCCAAACCCCCACGGUCCACAAAGGUGAUCGGCUGACCGGUCUCCAACAACGAUGAUAAGGUAUCAAUCGGCAUCAAGAAGCCCCCUCCAAGUGACCCCAUCUACUCAGUAAGCACCAUCGAAAUGGGCAAAGUGGGCUCCCCACAAAGCUUCAACAACUCAGGCAUAAUCUAGAACACCAUAGCCACAACCUCAACAAUGGUUUCAUUCCCAGAAGCAAUCGACAUGACAGGCAGUGACGACGAGCAUGAUGUAGCACGAGGGGAGAGAUCUUCAUACAUGUUUGCUUCUGCAUCAACAUAACCAACUUGGAUCUCGGGCAGCAGGGAUACAACAGGCACAACCUCGUGCUUGGCAAGAGCGACCUCUACACUUGCCAAAACACUACCAAUUCGUGUAAUGAAGUCGCAAAGCUCGGAUCGGAGUAGCUCAGUGUGCUCCAUGAGGACGGGCUGCAAUGCCACAUCACCCCGUGUUGCAUCGACAUUUGAUGCAUGCACUAGGAUGGAUGGUGGAGCAACAGGUCAUGUUGUGGUAGUCCGGUCGGUGUGAUGUUGUGCAUGAUGGAAACAUGCUUCGUGACCAAAACCGGAGGCAUCCCAAGCACCAGAAUGGAUCCCUGCGUUCAUGAGCAUGAUGACCCUUCGAGAGGCAUGGAAAACAACAGUUUCUUGGCCACAAUGGGGGAGCUGGCUAGGUGAUGGAUGUAUGGCCAUGGAAGGGCACAAGAGGAGACGAACAACGCCCCGAUAGAAGGUGCCAUCCAUCCAAAAGAUCCCUAGGAGGCGCGGACAUACCAUAGAUGGGAACACAAUUCGUUGCAACCCGAACAAGAAGCCACGCCAAUAACCCCAGCCGGAACAUGUGGGAGGCGCGCCGCCCCCUUGGACAGUCACGUGGCAGCAAUCGUGACGUCCAAGUAGAGAUGGCCGAUGCCAGAGGAACCAACAACUUGCUCGGAGCAUAGGUCGCCGGGGUCGCGGCAGCAAGAUCCGACUCGUGUUGGACGGGAUGUAGGGGACCUACGUGGUUCAACGCUAAGAUGUGAAUCAGUUGGUCGUUGGAGGUACCCGAGGUUACAUGUAGUGGUGUCGAAGUCGUCGCCGCCACAUGCAGCGUUCCAGUGGCAGCCUCGACCGCCAUAUCAGGACCUGGCAGGGGCGGACGCGGUGGCAAGCGUCCAGUGGAGGCCCCGUCCAGAGGAGCGGGGUGGCGGGGUGUAAGAUGGCUCUAUGGCGGGCUCAGCCCGAUGAGGGGCCCAUCGGCCACCCACACAGGUGUCGGACCUGCGGAGAGCAAAUACUGCGGCAGAAG
RNAcentral lists this long non-coding RNA (3450 nucleotides) under Hordeum vulgare. Its description in RNAcentral is "long non-coding RNA (HVUL_LNC015795)". Lineage: Eukaryota; Viridiplantae; Streptophyta; Magnoliopsida; Poales; Poaceae. The record is from RNAcentral.